GAUGAAGAACGUAGCGAAGUGCGAUAAGUAAUGUGAAUUGCAGAAUUCCGUGAAUCAUCGAAUCUUUGAACGCAAAUUGCGCUUCCUGGCAUCCCGGGAAGUAUGCCUGUUUGAGGGUCAGUGUUAAUAAAAAUCGGUUCGUUGCGAAUUUUUUGUGACGUUCCGGAGUUUGGGUUAUCUUAACUUUUUUGGUUAAGAGGCUUAAAAUUGACCUUUUUUUUGCGCAUUUUUUAGACGUACAUAAAUUUUUUUUUUAUUCGUCUAUUCUUAAUGCCAAAAUAUAUUAGAUUCGACCAUAUCGUGUGGUUCCGUGUCUAUAAAUUUUUCAUGAUUUGACCUCAAAUCAGGUAGGAGUACCCGCUGAACUUAAGCAUAUCAAUAAGCGGAGGA
Molecule: unclassified non-coding RNA, 390 nt
Filed under: soil metagenome
Description: partial contains 5.8S ribosomal RNA, internal transcribed spacer 2, and large subunit ribosomal RNA
Rfam family: 5.8S ribosomal RNA (bases 1-120)
Source: RNAcentral